Molecule: ribosomal RNA, 253 nt
Filed under: uncultured bacterium
Lineage: Bacteria
Description: partial 16S ribosomal RNA
Rfam family: Bacterial small subunit ribosomal RNA
Source: RNAcentral
UACGUAGGGUGCAAGCGUUAAUCGGAAUUACUGGGCGUAAAGCGUGCGCAGGCGGUGAUGCAAGACAGAGGUGAAAUCCCCGGGCUCAACCUGGGAACUGCCUUUGUGACUGCAUGACUAGAGUACGGUAGAGGGGGAUGGAAUUCCGCGUGUAGCAGUGAAAUGCGUAGAUAUGCGGAGGAACACCGAUGGCGAAGGCAAUCCCCUGGACCUGUACUGACGCUCAUGCACGAAAGCGUGGGGAGCAAACAGG